UUACAGCCAUAUCACAUUGAAACACCAGUUCUCACAUGAUCACCAAAGUUAAGCAAUGUUGAAUCUGGUCAGUACCAAGAUAGGUGACUGCUUUGGAAUACCAGGGGCUGUAAG
Molecule: non-coding RNA, 114 nt
Organism: Acanthosepion pharaonis
Lineage: Eukaryota; Metazoa; Mollusca; Cephalopoda; Sepiida; Sepiidae
Source: the annotation of a GenBank genome assembly